AUGUCGGCGUCUCCGCCGCCGCCGGAGGAGGAGGCCGUGCCUCUGGCGGGCGUCGGCGCCGUCGCCGGCAACGACAGGGUCCUCGCCGCGGCGCACCACAUCGUCAAGUCGCUCGCCACCUCCAAGAACGCCGCCGACGACAUGAUCCGCAUCCUCUCGGGCUUCGACUACCGCUUCUCCAACAUCACCUCCGACCUCGACCUCUUCCACUCGACCUCGCCCUCCCGCUCCCGCUCCCCGACCGACGCCGCCUCCUCGGAGGCCGAGGGCCUCUCCCUGUCGGAUUUCGACGAAGCGGCGCGGCUCAUCCACCUCUGGGACACCACCCCGGAGGCGCUCGUCUUCGAGGCCCCCGAGGACGACGCCGCCAACUACCUCGCGGCGGUCGACGUCGCCGUCGACCACCUCGCUGCCGGGGGCCCCGCCGCCGCCUCGGGCCGCGCCGGCGUCGCCGUGCAGCUCGCCAUGGCGCGCCUCGAGGACGAGCUCCGCCACCUCAUGCUCCGCCACGCCGUGCCGCUCGACGCCAGCGGCCUCUACUGCUCGCUCCGCCGCCUCUCGCUCGAGUCCAUGGACGACCUCGACACCUCCUCCGAGUUCGACCCCACCACCCCGCACAGCCAGGAGGGCGCGCCAGAUACCGCCCGCAGCGCCAGUCUCGUGGGGAACCCCUUCGACGACCAGCUGUUCGACCUGGUGCGGCCUGAUGCUGUCGAUGAGCUGCGCGCCAUUGCUGAGCGGAUGGGGCGCGCUGGCUACGCAAGUGAACUCGUGCAGGUUUACUGCGGCAUCCGCCGGGACCUGCUUGAUGAGUGCCUCACAGUUCUGGGCGUCGAGCGGCUCAGCAUCGACGAGGUUCAGCGUGUGGAGUGGAAGCAGCUGAAUGACAAGAUGAAGAAAUGGGUGCAUGGGGUCAAGACGGUUGUCCGUUCCCUGCUGACAGGCGAGCGCCGGCUCUGCGAUCAGGUGCUCGCGGUGUCUGAUGAGCUGCGGGACGAGUGCUUUGUUGAAUCCACCAAGGUUUGCAUAAUGCAGAUUCUUAACUUUGGGGAUGCUGUGGCUGUGUGCCCUCGUUCGCCCGAGAAGGUGUCCCGGAUACUUGAUAUGUAUGAGGCACUUGCCGAGGUAAUUCCUGAGCUCAAGGAACUGUACUAUGGGACUCCUGGGGAUGAUGUGAUCUGUGAUUUGGAGGGGGUCCUUGGGAGGCUUGGGGAUGCAGUCAAGGGUAACCUUCUUGAGUUUGGGAAGGUUCUACAGCAGGAGUCGUCAAGGCGGCCUAUGAUGGCUGGUGAGAUCCACCCAAUCACGCGUUAUGUGAUGAACUAUCUUAGGUUGUUGGUCGUUUACAGUGAUACGCUUGACAAGCUCUUGGAUGAGGAUGCUGCCGGAGAUGUUGAUCAUAAUGCUUCAAAUGGAGGUGCUGAUGAUGACGAGGAGUAUCUGAAGAGCUUGACCCCACUUGGACAUCGUUUGGUGAAGCUGAUGUCUUACUUGGAGGCCAAUUUGGAGGAAAAAUCUAAACUGUAUGAGGACGGUGCACUCCAGUGUAUAUUUUCCAUGAAUAAUACACUUUAUAUUGUCCAAAAGGUGAAGGAUUCCGAGCUUGGGAGGAUUUUAGGUGAUCAUUGGACACGGAGGCGCCGUGGAAAGAUUCGGCAAAAUUCCAAGAGCUACCUUAGGAUAUCGUGGACAAAGGUUUUGUCCUAUCUCAAGGAUGAUGGUCAUGGCAGUGGGAGUGUAAGUCUUGGGAAUUCAAGCUCGAGGGUCAAAGAGAAAUUUAAGAACUUCAACUUUGCCUUUGAUGAGAAUUACAGGAGUCAAACGCUUUGGAAGGUACCGGAUCCUCAACUACGCGAAGAGCUCAAGAUAUCUAUAUCUGAAAAUGUGAUUCCAGCAUAUCGUGCUUUUCUGGGUAGAUAUGGUAGUCUAGUGGAUAAUGGAAGAAAUUCUGGUAAAUACAUAAAGUACACCCCAGAGGACUUGGAAAAUCAACUGUCUGAUCUUUUCGAAGGGUCACUAGGGUCUGCCAACCAUUCCAGAAGAAGGUUAUAG
This 2052-nucleotide ribosomal RNA is filed under the name Triticum aestivum (bread wheat). RNAcentral's name for it is "partial small subunit ribosomal RNA". The record is from RNAcentral. Lineage: Eukaryota; Viridiplantae; Streptophyta; Magnoliopsida; Poales; Poaceae.